UUGUAAUUUAGUAAUCCAUUUUUUAUUUUUAAAUGAUUCAAUAGUAAUGAACACAAUGCAGAUAAUAUAAAUUAUGAUAUAUAUUCUGUUAGCCUACUGGUUGUCAGCUCAAAUCCGUUUUCAACUCCGUCUGUUCCACUUCUCCGUCUCCUGCUUCUUUCACCACUUCUUCUGGUGGUGAUUCUUCAUCAGAAUUAUUUGCAAUCUUGCUAUCUUUCUCUUCUUCUGGUGGUGAUUCUUCAUCAGAAUUAUUUGCAAUCUUGCUAUCUUUCUCUUCUUCUAGUGGUGAUUCUUCAUCAGAAUUAUUUGCAAUCUUGCUAUCUUUCUCUUCUUCAUCCAAAGGUGAAUAUUCAUCAGAACUUGUAUCAAAUAGUCCUGACACUGUAACAUACAUUUAUAUUAUGUAAAAACAUAAGCUAAAAUAGUAUGCAUGUUGUAAAUAGUUUGUCAUUCGUUGUAUUAGA
Cinara cedri is the source of this 464-nucleotide non-coding RNA. The record is from the annotation of a GenBank genome assembly. Lineage: Eukaryota; Metazoa; Arthropoda; Insecta; Hemiptera; Aphididae.